GAUCGGAGGUUAAAUUCCUCCCUAGCGCC
Molecule: transfer RNA, 29 nt
Filed under: Carassius gibelio (silver crucian carp)
Lineage: Eukaryota; Metazoa; Chordata; Actinopteri; Cypriniformes; Cyprinidae
Description: partial tRNA-Thr
Source: RNAcentral